RNAcentral lists this ribosomal RNA (4128 nucleotides) under Pseudomonas aeruginosa. Its description in RNAcentral is "bacterial LSU rRNA". It matches the Rfam family "Bacterial large subunit ribosomal RNA". The record is from RNAcentral. Lineage: Bacteria; Pseudomonadati; Pseudomonadota; Gammaproteobacteria; Pseudomonadales; Pseudomonadaceae.
UCAAGUGAAGAAGCGCAUACGGUGGAUGCCUUGGCAGUCAGAGGCGAUGAAAGACGUGGUAGCCUGCGAAAAGCUUCGGGGAGUCGGCAAACAGACUUUGAUCCGGAGAUCUCUGAAUGGGGGAACCCACCUAGGAUAACCUAGGUAUCUUGUACUGAAUCCAUAGGUGCAAGAGGCGAACCAGGGGAACUGAAACAUCUAAGUACCCUGAGGAAAAGAAAUCAACCGAGAUUCCCUUAGUAGUGGCGAGCGAACGGGGAUUAGCCCUUAAGCUUCAUUGAUUUUAGCGGAACGCUCUGGAAAGUGCGGCCAUAGUGGGUGAUAGCCCCGUACGCGAAAGGAUCUUUGAAGUGAAAUCGAGUAGGACGGAGCACGAGAAACUUUGUCUGAACAUGGGGUGUAGUGGUCUACUGAUCCCGGACACCGAUUUAGGCGAAAAUCCUCGCCGUGAGAGAGGUGUCUGAUGAGCAAGCAACGACGUACGUUUUCCGCCGAGUUCAAACGAGAGGCCGCGGCCCUGGUGUUGGACCAAGGCUACAGCUAUAUCGACGCCUGCCGUUCGCUGGGGGUGGUGGAUUCGGCCUUGCGCCGUUGGGUGAAGCAGCUCGAGGCGGAGCGCCAGGGUGUGACCCCGAAGAGCAAGGCGUUGACGCCUGAGCAGCAAAAGAUCCAGGAGCUGGAAGCCCGGAUCAACCGGUUGGAGCGGGAGAAAGCGAUAUUAAAAAAGGCUACCGCUCUCUUGAUGUCGGACGAACUCGAUCGUACGCGCUGAUAGACCAGUUGAGUGAGCAGGAGUCGGUGGAAGUGGUCUGUUCAGCUUUCGAUGUGGCGCGGUCUUGCUACUACGUCCACCGUCUUCGACGGCGGCGUGUCGAUGCUCGCCGCGUGGCGCUACGCAGCCAAGUCAACCAGUUGUUCAGCCAGAGUCGGGGCUCGGCCGGCAGCCGCAGCAUUCUGGGCAUGCUGCGCGAAGAGGGCGUGACCAUCGGCCGUUUCCGAGUGCGUCGGUUGAUGCGUGAGCUGGGCCUGGUUAGCAAGCAACCGGGCUCGCACGCCUACAAACAGGCCACGGUUGAGCGGCCGGAUAUCCCGAAUCGGCUGAACCGCGAAUUCGCGACCGAGCAUCCCAAUCAGGUGUGGUGUGGCGACAUCACCUACGUCUGGGCGCAAGGCUGUUGGCACUACCUGGCCGCGGUGCUGGAUCUGCAUACCCGGCGGGUGAUCGGCUGGGCGUUCUCGGCCAAGCCGGAUGCCGAACUGGUGAUCAAGGCCCUGGACAUGGCCUACGAACAGCGCGGCAAGCCACAGCAGGUGCUGUUCCAUUCAGACCAGGGCAGCCAGUACGCCAGCCGCCUGUUUCGGCAACGGCUCUGGCGCUAUCGGAUGCAGCAGAGCAUGAGUCGCCGAGGGAAUUGCUGGGAUAACUCGCCGAUGGAGCGCCUGUUCCGCAGUCUGAAGUCGGAGUGGGUCCCGUCAACGGGUUACCUGACGGCGCAGGAGGCCCAACGGGACAUCAGUCAUUACCUGAUGCAUCGCUACAACUGGAUCAGGCCGCAUCAAUUCAACGACGGGUUACCACCUGCGGUGGCCGAAGAAAAACUCAACCCACUGUCCGGGAUGGGUUGACCACUACAGGGGGACCAUCCUCCAAGGCUAAAUACUACUGACUGACCGAUAGUGAACCAGUACCGUGAGGGAAAGGCGAAAAGAACCCCGGAGAGGGGAGUGAAAUAGAACCUGAAACCGUAUGCGUACAAGCAGUGGGAGCCUACUUGUUAGGUGACUGCGUACCUUUUGUAUAAUGGGUCAGCGACUUAUAUUCAGUGGCAAGCUUAACCGUAUAGGGUAGGCGUAGCGAAAGCGAGUCUUAAUAGGGCGUUUAGUCGCUGGGUAUAGACCCGAAACCGGGCGAUCUAUCCAUGAGCAGGUUGAAGGUUAGGUAACACUGACUGGAGGACCGAACCCACUCCCGUUGAAAAGGUAGGGGAUGACUUGUGGAUCGGAGUGAAAGGCUAAUCAAGCUCGGAGAUAGCUGGUUCUCCUCGAAAGCUAUUUAGGUAGCGCCUCAUGUAUCACUCUGGGGGGUAGAGCACUGUUUCGGCUAGGGGGUCAUCCCGACUUACCAAACCGAUGCAAACUCCGAAUACCCAGAAGUGCCGAGCAUGGGAGACACACGGCGGGUGCUAACGUCCGUCGUGAAAAGGGAAACAACCCAGACCGCCAGCUAAGGUCCCAAAGUUGUGGUUAAGUGGUAAACGAUGUGGGAAGGCUUAGACAGCUAGGAGGUUGGCUUAGAAGCAGCCAUCCUUUAAAGAAAGCGUAAUAGCUCACUAGUCGAGUCGGCCUGCGCGGAAGAUGUAACGGGGCUCAAACCACACACCGAAGCUGCGGGUGUCACGUAAGUGACGCGGUAGAGGAGCGUUCUGUAAGCCUGUGAAGGUGAGUUGAGAAGCUUGCUGGAGGUAUCAGAAGUGCGAAUGCUGACAUGAGUAACGACAAUGGGUGUGAAAAACACCCACGCCGAAAGACCAAGGGUUCCUGCGCAACGUUAAUCGACGCAGGGUUAGUCGGUUCCUAAGGCGAGGCUGAAAAGCGUAGUCGAUGGGAAACAGGUUAAUAUUCCUGUACUUCUGGUUACUGCGAUGGAGGGACGGAGAAGGCUAGGCCAGCUUGGCGUUGGUUGUCCAAGUUUAAGGUGGUAGGCUGAAAUCUUAGGUAAAUCCGGGGUUUCAAGGCCGAGAGCUGAUGACGAGUCGUCUUUUAGAUGACGAAGUGGUUGAUGCCAUGCUUCCAAGAAAAGCUUCUAAGCUUCAGGUAACCAGGAACCGUACCCCAAACCGACACAGGUGGUCGGGUAGAGAAUACCAAGGCGCUUGAGAGAACUCGGGUGAAGGAACUAGGCAAAAUGGCACCGUAACUUCGGGAGAAGGUGCGCCGGCUAGGGUGAAGGAUUUACUCCGUAAGCUCUGGCUGGUCGAAGAUACCAGGCCGCUGCGACUGUUUAUUAAAAACACAGCACUCUGCAAACACGAAAGUGGACGUAUAGGGUGUGACGCCUGCCCGGUGCCGGAAGGUUAAUUGAUGGGGUUAGCGCAAGCGAAGCUCUUGAUCGAAGCCCCGGUAAACGGCGGCCGUAACUAUAACGGUCCUAAGGUAGCGAAAUUCCUUGUCGGGUAAGUUCCGACCUGCACGAAUGGCGUAACGAUGGCGGCGCUGUCUCCACCCGAGACUCAGUGAAAUUGAAAUCGCUGUGAAGAUGCAGUGUAUCCGCGGCUAGACGGAAAGACCCCGUGAACCUUUACUGUAGCUUUGCACUGGACUUUGAGCCUGCUUGUGUAGGAUAGGUGGGAGGCUUUGAAGCGUGGACGCCAGUUCGCGUGGAGCCAUCCUUGAAAUACCACCCUGGCAUGCUUGAGGUUCUAACUCUGGUCCGUGAUCCGGAUCGAGGACAGUGUAUGGUGGGCAGUUUGACUGGGGCGGUCUCCUCCUAAAGAGUAACGGAGGAGUACGAAGGUGCGCUCAGACCGGUCGGAAAUCGGUCGCAGAGUAUAAAGGCAAAAGCGCGCUUGACUGCGAGACAGACACGUCGAGCAGGUACGAAAGUAGGUCUUAGUGAUCCGGUGGUUCUGUAUGGAAGGGCCAUCGCUCAACGGAUAAAAGGUACUCCGGGGAUAACAGGCUGAUACCGCCCAAGAGUUCAUAUCGACGGCGGUGUUUGGCACCUCGAUGUCGGCUCAUCACAUCCUGGGGCUGAAGCCGGUCCCAAGGGUAUGGCUGUUCGCCAUUUAAAGUGGUACGCGAGCUGGGUUUAGAACGUCGUGAGACAGUUCGGUCCCUAUCUGCCGUGGACGUUUGAGAUUUGAGAGGGGCUGCUCCUAGUACGAGAGGACCGGAGUGGACGAACCUCUGGUGUUCCGGUUGUCACGCCAGUGGCAUUGCCGGGUAGCUAUGUUCGGAAAAGAUAACCGCUGAAAGCAUCUAAGCGGGAAACUUGCCUCAAGAUGAGAUCUCACUGGGAACUUGAUUCCCCUGAAGGGCCGUCGAAGACUACGACGUUGAUAGGCUGGGUGUGUAAGCGUUGUGAGGCGUUGAGCUAACCAGUACUAAUUGCCCGUGAGGCUUGACCAU